Molecule: ribosomal RNA, 117 nt
Filed under: Fusobacterium sp.
Lineage: Bacteria; Fusobacteriati; Fusobacteriota; Fusobacteriia; Fusobacteriales; Fusobacteriaceae
Source: RNAcentral
CUUGGUAAGAAUAGCUGCGGGGGUACACCUGGUCCCAUACCGAACCCAGAAGUUAAGCUCGUAAACGCUGAAAGUACUUGGAGGGAAGCCUCCCGGGAGGAUAGGUACUUGCCAAGC